AGCAGCCGCGGUAAUUCCAGCUCCGAUAGCGUAUAUUAAAGUUGUUGCAGUUAAAAAGCUCGUAGUUGAAUUUCGGGAUUUGUCAGUUGGUCGGGCUUCACUGUCCGUAUUGACUUGAUGGAUUCUUACCUUCUGAAUAACCAGCAUGCUAUUAAGUUAGUGCGUUGGGGAAGCAGAUCUAUUACCUUGAAAAAAUUAGAGUGUUUAAAGCGAGCUAGUGCUUGAAUAGAUUAGCAUGGAAUAAUAAAAUAGGACGGCAUGGUUCUAUUUGUUGGUUUCUAGGAUCACCGUAAUGAUUAAUAGGGAUAGUUGGGGGCAUUAGUAUUCAAUUGUCAGAGGUGAAAUUCUUGGAUUUAUUGAAGCUAAACUUCUGUCGAAACAUUUGCCUAAGGAUGUUUUCAUUAAUCAAGAACGAAAGUUAAGGGGAUCGAAGACGAUCAGAUACCGUCGUAGUCUUAACCAUAAACUAUGCCGACUAGGAAUCGGACGAUGUUAAUUUUNUAAAUGUACUCGUUCGGCU
RNAcentral lists this ribosomal RNA (520 nucleotides) under uncultured Acaulospora. Its description in RNAcentral is "SSU rRNA". It matches the Rfam family "Eukaryotic small subunit ribosomal RNA", at positions 569 to 1085 of the family's 1831-position model. Lineage: Eukaryota; Fungi; Glomeromycota; Glomeromycetes; Diversisporales; Acaulosporaceae. The record is from RNAcentral.